GAUGUCAAGACGGAUGCCACAUGCACCCAAGGACA
This 35-nucleotide transfer RNA is filed under the name Psalidoprocne petiti (Petit's sawwing). Its description in RNAcentral is "partial tRNA-Phe". The record is from RNAcentral. Lineage: Eukaryota; Metazoa; Chordata; Aves; Passeriformes; Hirundinidae.